UACGAAGGGUGCAAGCGUUACUCGGAAUUACUGGGCGUAAAGCGUGCGUAGGUGGUUUGUUAAGUCUGAUGUGAAAGCCCUGGGCUCAACCUGGGAAUUGCAUUGGAUACUGGCAGGCUAGAGUGCGGUAGAGGGUAGUGGAAUUCCCGGUGUAGCAGUGAAAUGCGUAGAGAUCGGGAGGAACACCAGUGGCGAAGGCGACUACCUGGACCAGCACUGACACUGAGGCACGAAAAGCGUGGGGGAGCAAACAGG
This 255-nucleotide ribosomal RNA is filed under the name uncultured bacterium. Its description in RNAcentral is "partial 16S ribosomal RNA". It matches the Rfam family "Bacterial small subunit ribosomal RNA", at positions 524 to 776 of the family's 1533-position model. The record is from RNAcentral.